RNAcentral lists this long non-coding RNA (317 nucleotides) under Cucumis sativus (cucumber). RNAcentral's name for it is "long non-coding RNA (CSAT_LNC000201)". Lineage: Eukaryota; Viridiplantae; Streptophyta; Magnoliopsida; Cucurbitales; Cucurbitaceae. The record is from RNAcentral.
UCACUCGUCAAUUUGUGCGCCACCAGUCGUGAUUCUAAUCAUCUGAACUUUAGCGUUCGAUGAAUCCAGACGUACAGACAACUCGUUCUUCCCUAAUUCCCCAAUUACUCGUAACAGGUAAUUCAUUCUUUCGUCAGACGUACGUCCCAUCACUUCCCUGAUUGUAGUGCAUGACACCAAUCAUCUAGGUUACCUUCUUCCCUGAUUUCGUCAAGUUGCCUUCUUAGUUUCUUUCCCUCUCCCUUUGUAUGUUUCAAAUACUUAUAAUGUUGUUUCUUCAUUACGACUCUUAAUGCACUAAACAUUAGCUAUACAAU